CAUCUUUUUUCAGUAUUUAGGAUGGUAGAACUCCAAUGUUUGAGAGCCCUCCUCAUGCUCCUCAAUCUCAAAACCAUGUUUGUAGUAGCAUCAUCAGAAAAGGGGACUAAUUUCCAAGCUUGAUUAACAAUAUCAAAGAGAGAAGGACAAAAUAGUCAGCUUUUAUUGAACUUAAAUGACCCCUUUCCAGUAAUCCUACCCUCCUAAGAUAGGAGGAUGGGAGUGUGAUCAGAGCAAGAAUUUGGGAGAGCCAAUUGAGAGGAGUUUGGAUGCAAAGUAUCCUAUUCAGUAGAGAUUAGGAAGCUAUCUAGCUUUGCUAAAAUCAAAGAACUUUGAUGAUAUACUUCAAGUGCACUAUUGAUUUUUUGAAGGGAGGUUAAUGCGGUUGAAGGUUCGGAUGAAAUUGUAGAAAUCAUUUGCAACUCUCCUAGGCUGUGGGUUACCAUUUCUUUCAAAAGAUUUGUAUGUGGCAUUGAAGUCUCCACCAAUUGCCCAAGGUCCAGGAUAAGAUCCCCUUAUUCUAUUUAGCUCUUCUCAAAAAGAAGAUUUUUUAUCAUGGUCCACUGAGCCAUAAACCACUAUAAAACUUCAAGUAGUAUUUAGGGGCAGAUCAAACUAGUGAGCAGUGAUAGAGAAAGAGAGAGAUCACUUUUGGUUAGAUUAAAUCUUGUUGAUGUCCAACCCAAGAGGAUGCCACCUUGGGUAUCAUAAGCAUUUAGAGAAAGUCAAGAAUUUAUCUACCCACCUUCAAGAGAGUGAAGAAUAAAAAAGGGUUGCAGAGUCAAUUUUUGAUUCUUGGAGGUUAGCGACACAACAAGUCAAAAAAGAAAUGGUUUCUUUAAUAGCCCUUCUCUUGGUUGGAUCACCAAGACUUCUAACAUUCCAAGAUAAUAUAGCCAUUUCAAAGAAGAAGAGAAAGCAGACACAAAGGAAGAUUUAGUGAAGGAAAAGAAAAAUCCCCAUAU
This 965-nucleotide long non-coding RNA is filed under the name Elaeis guineensis (African oil palm). RNAcentral describes it as "long non-coding RNA (EGUI_LNC004947)". The record is from RNAcentral. Lineage: Eukaryota; Viridiplantae; Streptophyta; Magnoliopsida; Arecales; Arecaceae.